Non-coding RNA from Potamilus streckersoni, 78 nucleotides. The record is from the annotation of a GenBank genome assembly. NCBI's taxonomy places the organism in Eukaryota, Metazoa, Mollusca, Bivalvia, Unionida, Unionidae.
GACUGCUCUAGUGGCCUAGUGGUAAGAGCUUCUGCCUUGGAUGUGGGAGGUUGUGGGUUCAUUUCCCAGUCUGAGUCA